UGGUGUAUCGCCAAAUAGGCAAGGCAUUGGUUUUUGACACCAUCAUUAAAGGUUCGAAUCCUUUUACACCAG
RNAcentral lists this transfer RNA (72 nucleotides) under Sporolithon durum. RNAcentral's name for it is "tRNA-Gln". It matches the Rfam family "tRNA". From Rfam's summary of the family: Transfer RNA (tRNA) molecules are approximately 80 nucleotides in length. Lineage: Eukaryota; Rhodophyta; Florideophyceae; Sporolithales; Sporolithaceae. The record is from RNAcentral.